UACGGGGGGAGCAAGCGUUGUUCGGAUUUACUGGGCGUAAAGGGCGCGUAGGCAGCCACCGCAAGUCGACUGUGAAAUCUCCGGGCUUAACCCGGAAAGGUCAGCCGAUACUGCGGGGCUAGAGUGCAGAAGGGGCAACUGGAAUUCUCGGUGUAGCGGUGAAAUGCGUAGAUAACGAGAGGAACACCUGCGGCGAAGGCGGGUUGCUGGGCUGACACUGACGCUGAGGCGCGAAAGCCAGGGGAGCAAACGGG
Molecule: ribosomal RNA, 254 nt
Filed under: uncultured bacterium
Lineage: Bacteria
Description: partial 16S ribosomal RNA
Rfam family: Bacterial small subunit ribosomal RNA
Source: RNAcentral